CCUACGGGGGGCAGCAGUGGGGAAUAUUGGACAAUGGGGGGAACCCUGAUCCAGCCAUGCCGCGUGUGUGAAGAAGGCCCUCGGGUUGUAAAGCACUUUCAGUGAGGAAGAACGCCUGGUGGUUAAUACCCAUCAGGAAAGACAUCACUCACAGAAGAAGCACCGGCUAACUCCGUGCCAGCAGCCGCGGUAAUACGGAGGGUGCGAGCGUUAAUCGGAAUUACUGGGCGUAAAGCGCGCGUAGGUGGCUUGAUAAGCCGGUUGUGAAAGCCCCGGGCUCAACCUGGGAACGGCAUCCGGAACUGUCAAGCUAGAGUGCAGGAGAGGAAGGUAGAAUUCCCGGUGUAGAGGUGAAAUGCGUAGAGAUCGGGAGGAAUACCAGUGGCGAAGGCGGCCUUCUGGACUGACACUGACACUGAGGUGCGAAAGCGUGGGUAGCAAACAGGAUUAGAUACCCCAGUAGUC
RNAcentral lists this ribosomal RNA (465 nucleotides) under Vreelandella stevensii. Its description in RNAcentral is "partial 16S ribosomal RNA". It matches the Rfam family "Bacterial small subunit ribosomal RNA", at positions 338 to 795 of the family's 1533-position model. The record is from RNAcentral. Lineage: Bacteria; Pseudomonadati; Pseudomonadota; Gammaproteobacteria; Oceanospirillales; Halomonadaceae.